UUUUAAUUGAGUUAAUUUUAUACAUAUCCUUACAAACACGAUGACUCUAUAAAGAUCAACUUUUGUUUAUAUAUUAUUCUGUAAAAAUUUUGAUACUUUCAAAUAUGUUACUGCGUUAAAAUCCGUUAGAAAAAAUUAAUUAACUAAAGAUAAAUAUUUUUUAAUCCUAAUCGGUUAAUGAGAUGAACUGAGCUUUUUUUAGUUAACCAUAGGAAAAUACUUAACCCUAGUUAGUUAAUGAAAUGAAUUGAGCAUUUUUUAGUUAACCAUAAAUAAAUACUUAACCCUAGUUAGUUAAUGAUAUAAAUUGACCUUUUUUACUCCUCUUUAAUUAAUAGUUGGGACUUUUAGAAUAACAUGUUUGUGAUGGCAAAAAAAUUAUUUCACUUAUAAAAUAAAUAGUGUUUUAACAAUAACAAACCAUAGGGAUAUUGUAACACACUGGGCUUUAGCAAAUUGCAAGGUUCGAGUGUUGAGCUGUGUUCUGAGUCUUUCCAGAUAUUCUGGAAGGUCGUGGACAUUGUCCCGACCUAUGGCUUGAUUUUCGAGAAUUGUGGUUUUUAAAGUAGCGCUAAGGUCACCAAAGGGGAGGACUUAGGUGCUCUCGGGUGGCAUUCUGCAGGAAUGUGUA
This 631-nucleotide long non-coding RNA is filed under the name Ananas comosus (pineapple). RNAcentral describes it as "long non-coding RNA (ACOM_LNC032826)". Lineage: Eukaryota; Viridiplantae; Streptophyta; Magnoliopsida; Poales; Bromeliaceae. The record is from RNAcentral.